Molecule: long non-coding RNA, 302 nt
Organism: Rhea pennata
Lineage: Eukaryota; Metazoa; Chordata; Aves; Rheiformes; Rheidae
Exons: 3
Source: RefSeq, a predicted model, not a curated record
UGCUUAGAAGACAUAUUGACCAUUGGUGACAAUCAGUUAGGACAGUCCAUAUAUCACCUCCAGUUCAUGAAGAUCAUAAUGCAGCACAGGCAUGUCUGGGCAUUAGCAACAAACGAAAAGAGGAAAGGGACAUGAAGGUGUAUGACCACAAAUGUCUGUGUGAUACAAAGGAAUUUCUGAAGCUGAAAAAAACCUUGAGAUUUACCAAUGGAGCAUUUCUUCAUUUACAAAGUUGCAAGUACAAAUAGGACACAGCCCACUGGCCACAGAAGUAUCCAAUGCCUCUCAUGUUCUGGGAGAUA